Molecule: long non-coding RNA, 1726 nt
Organism: Lingula anatina
Lineage: Eukaryota; Metazoa; Brachiopoda; Lingulata; Lingulida; Lingulidae
Source: RefSeq, a predicted model, not a curated record
GUGCUCCUUCUUCUUGCGGUCGAAGUGGUUCAAGCACAGCCGGAUCCAUUCACGACUACUAUAGACUGCUAUCGGUGCCUGGGGCCUAUGAGAAACAGCACGUGCGGGGAUCCCUUCGACGCCGAAAAGCUCCACCUUGGUGAGGAGGAGAGCGGUAUUCAGAUCAUAAAGUGCAAAAGAGGGGCGUGUCUAAAAUGGACGUAUUUUCACAAAGGUGAGCUGCUAAUCAGAAGAACGUGUUCGCUGGACGAAGAAGACCUCGUGUUUCACAUACCUCUGGUGGACGUGUGUAGAAGGGAGAGAGAUGGCAACGGGCGCCUCUGCAUGUGCUCCGGUGACUUGUGCAACGCCGCACGCCGAACUUCCGCUUCCGCUUCCUGGAGCCUGCUUAUAGCACUUGGCUCGCUAAUUCUUUCUGCGAAGUUGCUUCUCCUCAGCUGACACCCCCUCUCCCUGGUUUGUUCAGUGUAAGUGACAUUGAAAUAUGAUUCAACCCACGGCCUAUAGCAGUGCAUUGUCUGAAAUCACGAGAUCAAAAGACAAGCUGAUGUUCAGAUAUGAUAGAGAAAUGUACGCGAUUAAAAGGAAGGAAAGACAGCGAGGUUUUCAUUGGUGCUUCCGCCGGAUCUGCUGUUAUGGGCCUUUUAUUAAUCCGGAGAAAUGUCUGUAGACCUACUCAACGUAACAAAACUCCACCGACGAGAUGGGAACACAGGCAAGCUUCCAUGGUGUUUUAUUAUGUGAUUAAUUAUCUUUUUCUACUCUUUGUGGUCAAGGGCUCUCUAAUGUUUUUCCCCGUUUCUUCAUGCACCACAAAGUCUCAUGGGAAAUAUACACAGUUGCAUCCAUCAACAUUGAUGUUUUUUUUUAAAUUGCAGUUAUUAGCCUAUUGUUUUGCAUUGUUAGAACCAGUUAAAACAUUGUCAAACUGUAACAAAGUAUUACUAACAAGGAAUUGUUAUCAUAUGGGAGGCGCUCGCAAAAGCUCAAUACCCAAAGGGAAUGUUCUAUUAAAUAAAUUCUUUAAUCACGUUUAUCAUUAAAUUUAACGGCUAUAGGGCCUGGAUACAUUGACAUGAUGAUGGAAGCACGGGAGAUAAAUUUUGCACGGAGUCGACCGACUAUAAUUUUUUAUCUUUCGUAGACUCACCGCUUUGGCGUCUUCAUGUUUGACUUUUUGUUGCCUUCCAGUGAUCCCAGAGGCUAACAUGUCAAUACCCAAUUUUGAUACGUGUUGCAUGAUGAAGUCUCAAUUAAGCCUUCUGGGGCCAUUCAAUAUUCCCACUUUGUCAAUAAAUGAUGACUGUAUUAUAUAAUAGCCAACAGAGGACGAUCUGUUUUUAAUGUGCCAGGAACAGCACUGUAUUUCUUCCCGUUGCUGAGCAAAUGACAAAAGAGAUGGGGCGUUAAGGGGAAUUCUGGACGGCCCCAUAAAGGCAUGUAGUAGCUUGUUGUUCCAAUUAAGUUUUUUGAAGAAGGUGCGAAAUACUCAUUGUAUAUACGCUUGCUUUCCGCCAUUUAUAUAGCUGGCUAUCCAAACAGAUUAUCCUGGCAAAAUACCCAUAAUGCAUAUUAAAUAAUGCAAUUUAUUUUUACCUUUAAGCGCCAGUGGUAAUGAUAAAGGAAUGUUGCUAAUUUGAGUAGUAGUUCUAGGUAUUUGGCCUUCUUAAUGAAAAGCGUUAAUGUUUGUUUUGUUCUCAGAAUACACGUGGUGAGACACUUAUCU